AUAGUAGUCCCUCCGUCCGGAAUUACUUGUCGCUCAAAUGGAUGUAUCUAGCACAAAAAUACAUCUAGAUACAUCCAUUUGAGUGACAAGUAAUUCCAGACGGAGGAAGUAUGUA
Non-coding RNA from Triticum aestivum (bread wheat), 115 nucleotides. The record is from Rfam. NCBI's taxonomy places the organism in Eukaryota, Viridiplantae, Streptophyta, Magnoliopsida, Poales, Poaceae.